AGCAGCUGAACUGCAGAGGAUUUAGAGGCUCUAAACUUCUUCACAUAGCGUGAUUUCCUUAAGUCACAGAAUGAAAAUAAGAACAUCGUACGAAUCCUCCGCCCUUCAUGAACACAAUGAAGUAUUUUUCAUGUCUGUACUCCGACAAAUGUGGCCACAACAGCGAGUUAAAAAAGUCUGAGCCUGAGCGAUGAUCCGGAUUUUCUUGGAGAAAAAUAACAUUACCGUCAAUGGGAGAGAUUUCCGCCUUCUUUGGACAGUUGGUCACCUGCUGGCCAAGGGGUACGAUUUAAUGAUUUGAAACCUCUUUUGUGAGAAGCAGGACACAUAUACCUCCAUUUUGAUGUAUUAUUUGUGUCAGUGGAGUGAGAUUUGUGGGCGUGGGAGCGAUAUAUUCGAGCGAGGUUCUGUCGAUCAGAGACGAGGUCUGCACUCUAGCUGAUGACAUCAUCACUCUAAACUCUCCAAUACACACCCAUUAUAAAGCUUGAAAUUUGCUGAAAACCACAAGUUGCUUAAAGCUAAAUUGUGGAAGAACUGUAGAAGAUAUCAAAAAACCGAGUACAACUGUAAUAGUCGACAAGUGAGUGAACAUUUUAAAGCAAAAAUGAGGUCUCUAGGUGAAAGUAUGCUGAAGUUAUAAGGUCUAGAAGGUGGAAGAAUGAAAGGAAGAAGUUAAAGAUUUCCCCAUUGACUUCAAUGUUAAAAUUUUUGCACAAAAAGUUAAAAAAAUCAAAAAGUAUAAAAGGUAGAAGAGUGAAAAGUAAUAGCCAUCAUGUCCUGAAGGAGUGGAAUAGUUUAAAGUUUGAACGGUUGAAAUCGGACAAAGUUUGAAGGAGGAGAAGCGUUGCAAAAAAGGGACGGAAGAAUAAUAAUAAUAAUAACUAGAAAAAUUGCAUUUCCUUGCAGAAAAUGCGUGGAAAUGCUGAGUGCUGAAAGCUGAAAAAGCAAUGCUAAACUGCUAAUAAAACAUGGAGAAAUGUAUAAAUGUUAAAGCUGUUGAAGGGGUGUGAAAGAAAUGUAAGUUGGAUAAUUGAUUAAUUGGUUGAAGGACAAAUAGUAUGAAUAUGCUCUAUAAAAAGAAAUUUUAUUCAUACUGAAAGAGGCUAGAAAAAUGUCUAAAAUUGCACAAAGUUUGAAUGAAGAAGGAAAUUGCCUUAAAAGGCAGGAAGGUGGGAAGUGGCAUAAGUUUAAUUUUUUAAGUAUUAGAAAGGUUUGAAUCAGUUUGAAUCAGUUCAAAUUAGUUUGAAAAAUUAAAUGAUAAAUCAUCACUGAGUGACUUUAAAAUGUGAAAAAUCUAAAUGUAUAUAAAUCCUAAAUACACCCCAUAAUGUCCUCAAUGAGCUUAAAUUUUAAAGCCCUGAAUGGUUUCUGUAGGUCAAAGGUCAUGUGAGGAGAUAGGGGCUUAGGUUUUUUCAAGCGCUCUAGGAAAGGGUUUUAAGUGUCAUCCCCAGUGCUAUGUGUACUGAGCCUGGCUUCAUGUGUCUCAUAUGGCCAUUAGAAGCAGCUUUCCAGUCAGCUGUGUGUCUCCAGGUGCACAAAUUGGUUGCCAUGGGGACCUUGGAUGAAUAACUUUAGCAGGAGAAAGAAGGCUUGAAGCUAAGGAAACAGGACUCCAAGUAGGCCCUGACGCUCAUCCUCUGUAUCUAUUCCUGAUAAGGAGCUUGUGAGAACACAAGAUUUUGCUGAACACAUUAAUACAAUUUAUUAUCACAAUCCUCAAAACACCCCAUAAUAUCUUCAAUGAGCUGAAUUUUUGAAGCCCAGAAUGGUUUCUGUAGCUCAAAGUUUGUGGGUGGAGAUAGGUGGUGAAGCAGACACAUAUUACCUGUGUGUACAAGCAGGUGAACUGCAAGGUAGACCUGACAAUGCAACAAGUACAAGAAUGUGUGUGUGUGUGUGUGUGUGUGUGUGUGUGUCUCGUUAAUGAUUGCAUCCUAAGCAGCUGUGAGAUCAAAGGCAAAUCACUGACCUACUGUUUGAAUGGAGAAGCUGCUGAACUGCAGUGAAUUUACGGUUCUGAACUUCUUCACAUAGCACGAUUUCCUUAAGUCCCAGAAUGAAAAUAAGAACAUCGUACGAAUCCUCCGCCUUUCAUGAACACAAUGAUGUCUUUUUCAUGUCUGUACUCCGAAAAAUGUGGCCACAACAGCGAGUUAAAAAAGUCUGAGUCUGAGUGGGGAUAAGGAUUUUCUUGGAGAAGAAAUACAUUAGGUCUAAUGGGGAGAGAUUUCCGCCUAUUUGGACAGUUGGUCACCUGCUGGCCAAGGGGUAAGAUUUAAUGAUUUGAAACCUCUUUUGUGAGAAGCAGGACACAUAUACCUCCAUUUUGAUGUAUUUUUUAUGGGUGUGGAUUGAGAUUUGUGAGCGUGGGAGCGAUAUAUUCGAGCGAGGUUCUGUUGAUCAGAGACGAGGUCUGCACUCUAGCUUUUCAAAUCCUCACUCUAGCCUCUCCAAUACACCCCUAUUAUAAAGCCUGAAAUUUGCUGAAAACCACAAGUUGCAUUAAGCUAAAUUGUGGAAAAACUGUAAAAGAUAUUACAAAAAGACUAAUACAGUAUCAAUAGUCGACAAGACAAUGAACAUUUUAAAGCAAAAAUGAGGUCUCUAGGUGAAAGUAUGCUGAAGUUAUAAGGCUUAGAAGGUGGACAAAUAACAGGAAGAAUUGAAAGAUUUCCCCAUUCAUUUGUAUGGGAAAAAAAGUUUGGCACAAAAAGUGAAAAAUAAUAAAAAGUAUAAAGGGUAGAAAAAAGAAAAGUAAUAGCCAUCAUGUCCUGAAGGAGUGGAAUAGUUUAAAGUUUGAACGGUUGAAAUCGGACAAAGUUUGAAGGAGGAGAAGCGGUCCAAAGAAACGUAAGGGGAGAGUGUUAAGUAUAAUACUAGAAAAAUUGCAUUUCCUUGCAGAAAAUGCGUGGAAAUGCUGAGUGCUGAAAGCUGAAAAAGCAAUGCUAAACUGCUAAUAAAACAUGGAGAAAGGUAUAAAUGUUAAAGCUGUUGAAGGGGUGAAAAAGAAAUAUAAGUUGGAUAAUUGAUUAAUUGGUUGAAGGACAAAUAGUAUGAAUAUGCUCUAUAAAAGGAAAUUUUAUUCAUGCUGAAAGAGGCUAGAAAAAUGUCUAAAAUUGCACAAAGUUUGAAUGAAGAAGGAAAUUGCCUUAAAAGGCAGGAAGGUGAGAAGUGGCAUAAGUUUAAAUUGUAGUACUAGAAGUAGUAUGAUAAGAAGUCAAGUCGUGAUACUAGUAGUCAUGUCAGCAGUAGAAGUAGAUUGAGAAUAAAAGAAGUAUAAGUCAAAGUAGUAAAGAAAGUAGAAAUAGUAGCAAUAGCAGCAGUAGAGAAAGUAGAAAUAGGAGCAAUAGCAGUUGAAGUAGAGGGGAAAGUACUAGUUUAAUUGACAUAAGUAGUUGUAGUACUAGAGGUAGGAUUUUGUUUGAAGGACGGAUUAAUGCAUAAAUAUUAAAACUAAUAUAAAACAGGGAACAUUUUAUUAAUUAAAAAUCCUCAAGUAUCAGACAGUUUUUAAGUAUUAGAAAGGUUUGAAUCAUUUUGAAUGAGUUUAAAUUAGUUUGAAAAAUUAAAUGAUGAAUCAUCACUGAGUGACUUAUAAAAGUGAAAAAUUUAAAUGAAUAUAAAUCCUGAAUACACCCCAUAAUGUCCUCAAUGAGCUUAAAUUUUAAAGCCCUGAAUGGUUUCUGUAGGUCAAAGGUCAUGUGAGGAGAUAGGGGCUGAAGGUUUUUCAAGCGCUCUAUAUAUGUAUAAGGAGCUUGUGAGAACACAAGACUCUGCUAAACACAUUAAUACAAUUUAUUAUCACAAUCCUCAAGACACCCCAUAAUAUCUUCAAUGAGCUGAAUUUUUGAAGCCCAGAAUGGUUUCUGUAGCUCAAAGUUUGUGGGUGGAGAUAGGUGGUGAAGCAGACACAAAUUAACUGUGUGUACAAGCAGCUGAACUGCAAGGUAGACCUGACAAAGCAACAAGUACAAGAAUGUGUGUGUGUGUGUGCGUCUCGUUAAUGAUUGCAUCCUAAACAGCUGUGAGAUCAAAGCCAUGACCUAUUGACCUAUUGUUUGAAUGGAGAAGCUGCUGAACUGCAUUGAAUUUAGGGUUCUGAACUUCUUCACAUAGCGUGAUUUCCUUAAGGCCCAGAAUGAAAAUAAGAACAUCGUACGAAUCCUCCGUCCUUCAUGAACACAAUGAUGUGUUUUUCAUGUCUGUACUUCGAAAAAUGAGGCCACAACAGCGAGUUAAAAAUGUCUGAGCCUGAGCGAUGAUCCGGAUUUUCUUGGAGAAAAAUAACAUUAUGGUCAAUGGGAGAGAUAUCCGCCUUCCUUGGACAGUUGGUCACCUGCUGGCCAAGGGGUACGAUUUAAUGAUUUGAAACCCCUUUUGUGAGAAGCAGGACACAUAUACCUGCAUUUUGAUGUAUUUUUUAUGGCUGUGGAGUGAGAUUUGUGGGCGUGGGAGCGAUAUAUUCGAGCGAGGUUCUGUCGAUCAGAGACGAGGUCUGCACUCUAGCUUUUCAAAUCCUCACUCUAAACUCUCCAAUACACACCCAUUAUAAAGCCUGAAAAUUUGCUGAAAACCACAAGUUGCUUAAAGCUAAAUUGUGGAAAAACUGUAAAAGAUAGCACAAAAAGGUUAUACAAUAUCAAUAGUCGACAAGACAAUGAACAUUUUAAAGCAAAAAUGAGGUCUCUAGGUGAAAGUAUGCUGAAGUUAUAAGGCUUAGAAGGUGGACGAAUAACAGGAAGAAUUGGAAGAUUUCCCCAUUCAUUUCUAUGGGAAAAAAAGUUUGGCACAAAAAGUGAAAAAUAAUAAAAAGUAUAAAGGGUAGAAAAAAGAAAAGUAAUAGCCAUCAUGUCCUGAAGGAGUGGAAUCGUUUAAAGUUUGAACGGUUGAAAUCGGACAAAGUUUGAAGGAGGAGAAGCGGUCCAAAGAAACGUAUGGGGAGAGUGUUAAGUACAAUACUAGAAAAAUUGCAUUUCCUUGCAGAAAAUGCGUGGAAAUGCUGAGUGCUGAAAGCUGAAAAAACAAUGCUAAACUGCUAAUAAAACAUCGAGAAAGGUAUAAAUGUUAAAGCUGUUGAAGGGGUGAGAAAGACAUGUAAGUUGGAUAAUUGAUUAAUUGGUUGAAGGACAAAUAGUAUGAAUAUGCCCUAUAAAAGGAAAUUCUAUUCAUGCUGAAAGAGGCUAGAAAAAUGUCUGAAAUUGCACAAAGUUUGAAUGAAGAAGGAAAUUGCCUUAAAAGGCAGGAAGAUGGGAAGUGGCAUAAGUUUAAUUUUUUAAGUAUUAGAAAGGUUUGAAUCAGUUUCAAUCAGUUCAAAUUAGUUUGAAAAAUUAAAUGAUAAAUCAUCACUGAGUGAGUUUAAAAUGUGAAAAAUCUAAAUGUAUAUAAAUCCUAAAUACACACCAUAAUGUCCUCAAUGAGCUCAAAUUUUAAAGCCCUGAAUGGUUUCUGUAGGUCAAAGGUCAUGUGAGGAGAUAGGGGCUGAAGUUUUUUCAAGCGCUCUAGUAAAGGGUUUUAAGUGUCAUCCCCAGUGCUAUGUGUGCUGAGCCUGGCUUCAUGUGUCUCAUAUGGCCAUUAGAAGCAGCUUUCCAGUCAGCUGUGUGUCUCCAGGUGCACUAAUUGGUUGCCAUGGGGACCUUGGAUGCAUAACUAUAGCAGGAGAAAGAAGGCUUGAAGCUAAGGAAACAGGACUCCAAGUAGGCCCUGACGCUCAUCCUCUGUAUCUAUUCCUGAUAAGGAGCUUGUGAGAACACAAGACUCUGCUAAACACAUUAAUACAAUUUAUUAUCACAAUCCUCAAAACACCCCAUAAUAUCUUCAAUGAGCUGAAUUUUAGAAGCCCAGAAUGGUUUCUGUAGCUCAAAGUUUGUGGGUGGAGAUAGGUGGCGAAGCAGACACAUAUUAACUGUGUGUACAAGCAGCUGAACUGCAAGGUAGACCUCAUAAAGCAACAAGUACAAGAAUGUGUGUGUGUGUGUGUGUGUGUGUCUCUCGUUAAUGACUGCAUCCUAAACAGCUGUGAGAUCAAAGGCAAAUCACUGACCUACUGUUUGAAUGAGAAGCAGCUGAACUGCAGAGGAUUUAGAGGCUCUAAACUUCUUCACAUAGCGUGAUUUCCUUAAGUCACAGAAUGAAAAUAAGAACAUCGUACGAAUCCUCCGUCCUUCAUGAACACAAUGAUGUGUUUUUCAUUUCUGUACUUCGAAAAAUGAGGCCACAACAGCGAGUUAAAAAAGUCUGAGCCUGAGCGAUGAUCCGGAUUUUCUUGGAGAAAAAUAACAUUAUGGUCAAUGGGAGAGAUUUCCGCCUUUUUUGGACAGUUGGUCACCUGCUGGCCAAGGGGUACGAUUUAAUGAUUUGAAACCUCUUUUGUGAGAAGGAGGACACAUAUACCUCCAUUUUGAUGUAUUAUUUGUGUCAGUGGAAUGAGAUUUGUGGGCGUGGGAGCGAUAUAUACGAGCGAGGUUCUGUCGAUCAGAGACGAGGUCUGCACUCUAGCUGAUGACAUCAUCACUCUAAACUCUCCAAUACACACCCAUUAUAAAGCUUGAAAUUUGCUGAAAACCACAAGUUGCUUAAAGCUAAAUUGUGGAAAAACUGUAAGAGAUAUCAAAAAACUGAUUACAACUAUAAUAGUCGACAAGUGAAUGAACAUUUUAAAGCAAAAAUGAGGUCUCUAGGUGAAAGUACGCUGAAGUUAUAAGGUCUAGAAGGUGGAAGAAUAAAAGGAAGAAUUGGAAGAUUUCCCCAUUGACUUCAAUGUUAAAAUUUUUGCACAAAAAGUUAAAAAAAACAAAAAGUAUAAAUGUUAGAAAAGUGAAAAGUAAUAGCAAACGUGUCCUGAAGGAGUGGAAUAGUUUAAAGUUUGAACGGUUGAAAUCGGACAAACUGGGAAGGAGUUGAAAGCGGACGAAAAACGGCGGAAGAAUAAUAAUAAUAAAGAAACGGGAGAAUAACAAUAAGUGGAAAUGCUUAAUCAGCAUUUCCACUUAACUAGAAAAAUUGCAUUUCCUUGCAGAAAAUGCGUGGAAAUGCUGAGUGCUGAAAGCUGAAAAAGCAAUGCUAAACUGCUAAUAAAACAUGGAGAAAGGUAUAAAUGUUAAAGCUGUUGAAGGGGUGAAAAAGAAAUAUAAGUUGGAUAAUAGUUUAAUUGGUUGAAGGACAAAUAGUAUGAAUAUGCUCUAUAAAAGGAAAUUUUAUUCAUGCUGAAAGAGGCUAGAGAAAUGUCUAAAAUUGCACAAAGUUUGAAUGAAGAAGGAAACUGCCCUUAAAGGCAGGAAGGUGAGAAGUGGCAUAAGUUUAAGUUGUAGUACUAGAAGAAGUAUGAUAAGAAGUCAAGUCGUGAUACUAGUAGUCAUGUCAGCAGUAGAAGUAGAUUGAGAAUAAAAGAAGUAUAAGUCAAAGUAGUAAAGAAAGUAGAAAUAGUAGCAAUAGCAGUUGAAGUAGAGGGGAAAGUACUAGUUUAAUUGACAUAAGUAGUUGUAGUACUAGAGGUAGGAUUUUGUUUGAAGGACGGAUUAAUGCAUAAAUAUUAAAACUAAUAUAAAACAGGGAACAUUUUAUUAAUUAAAGAUCCACAAGUAUCAGACAGUUUUUAAGUAUUAGAAAGGUUUGAAUCAUUUUGAAUGAGUUUAAAUUAGUUUGAAAAAUUAAAUGAUGAAUCAUCACUGAGUGACUUAUAAAAGUGAAAAAUUUAAAUGAAUAUAAAUCCUGAAUACACCCCAUAAUGUCCUCAAUGAGCUUAAAUUUUAAAGCCCUGAAUGGUUUCUGUAGGUCAAAGGUCAUGUGAGGAGAUAGGGGCUGAAGGUUUUUCAAGCGCUCUAUAUAUGUAUAAGGAGCUUGUGAGAACACAAGACUCUGCUGAACACAUUAAUACAAUUUAUUAUCACAAUCCUCAAAACACCCCAUAAUAUCUUCAAUGAGCUGAAUUUUUGAAGCCCAGAAUGGUUUCUGUAGCUCAAAGUUUGUGGGUGGAGAUAGGUGGUGAAGCAGACACAUAUUAACUGUGUGUACAAGCAGCUGAACUGCAAGGUGGACCUCAAAAAGCAACAAGUACAAGAAUGUGUGUGCGUGUGUGUGUGUGUGUCUCGUUAAUGACUGCAUCCUAAACAGCUGUGAGAUCAAAGGCAAAUCACUAACCUACUGUUUGAAUGAGAAGCAGCUGAACUGCAGUGAAUUUCAGCCUGUGAACUUCUUCACAUAGCGUGAUUUCCUUAAGUCCCAGAAUGAAAAUAAGAACAUCGUACGAAUCCUCCGUCCUUCAUGAACACAAUGAUGUGUUUUUCAUGUCUGUACUUCGAAAAAUGAGGCCACAACAGCGAGUUAAAAAAGUCUGAGCCUGAGCGAUGAUCCGGAUUUUCUUGGAGAAAAAUAACAUUAUGGUCAAUGGGAGAGAUUUCCGCCUUCCUUGGACAGUUGGUCAUCUGCUGGCCAAGGGGUACGAUUUAAUGAUUUGAAACCUCUUUUGUGAGAAGCAGGACACAUAUACCUCCAUUUUGAUGUAUUAUUUAUCGCUGUGGAGUGAGAUUUGUGGGCGUGGGAGCGAUAUAUUCGAGCGAGCUUCUGUCGAUCAGAGACGAGGUCUGCACUCUAGCUGAUGACAUCAUCACUCUAAACUCUCCAAUACACACCCAUUAUAAAGCUUGAAAUUUGCUGAAAACCACAAGUUGCUUAAAGCUAAAUUGUGGAAAAACUGUACAAGAUAUCAAAAAACUGAGUACAACUUUAAUAGUCGACAAGUGAAUGAACAUUUUAAAGCAAAAAUGAGGUCUCUAGGUGAAAGUAUGCUGAAGUUAUAAGGUCUAGAAGGUGGAAGAAUAAAAGGAAGAAGUGGAAGAUUUCCCCAUUGACUUCAAUGUUAAAAUUUUUGCACAAAAAGUUAAAAAAAACAAAAAGUAUAAAAGGUAGAAAGGUAAAAAGUACAAGCAAACAUGUCCUGAAGGAGUGGAAUAGUUUAAAGUUUGAACGGUUGAAAUCGCACAAAGUUUGAAGGAGUUGAAAGCGGACGAAAAACGGCGGAAGAAUAAUAAUAAGUUUAAUAAUAAAGAAACAGGAGAAUAACAAUAAGUGGAAAUGCUUAAUCAGCAUUUCCACUUAACUAGAAAAAUUGCAUUUCCUUGCAGAAAAUGCGUGGAAAUGCUGAGUGCUGAAAGCUGAAAAAGCAAUGCUAAACUGCUAAUAAAACAUGGAGAAAGGUAUAAAUGUUAAAGCUGUUGAAGUAAUGAAAAAGAAAUAUAAGUUGGAUAAUGGUUUCAUUGGUUGAAGGACAAAUAGUAUGAAUAUGCUCUAUAAAAGGAAAUUUUAUUCAUGCUGAAAGAGGCUAGAAAAAUGUCUAAAAUUGCACAAAGUUUGAAUAAAGAAGGAAACUGCCUUUAAAGGCAGGAAGGUGAGAAGUGGCAUAAGUUUAAGUUGUAGUACUAGAAGAAGUAUGAUAAGAAGUCAAGUCGUGAUACUAGUAGUCAUGUCAGCAGUAGAAGUAGAUUGAGAAUAAAAGAAGUAUAAGUCAAAGUAGUAAAGAAAGUAGAAAUAGUAGCAAUAGCAGUUGAUGUAGAGGGGAAAGUUCUAGUUUAAUUGACAUUAGCAGUAGUUGUCGUACUUGAGGUAGGAUUUUGUUUGAAUGAUGGAGUAAUGCAUAAAUAUUAAAACUAAUUUAAAACAGGGAAAUUUUAAAUUAUCAAAAGUCCUCAAGUAUCAGAAAGUUUUGAAGUAUUAGAAAGGUUUGAAUCAGUUUGAAUGAGUUUAAAUUAGUUUGAAAAAUUAAAUGAUAAAUCAUCACUGAGUGACUUUUAAAAUGUGAAAAAUUUAAAUGAAUAACAAUCCUAAAUACACCCAAUAAUGUCCUCAAUGAGCUUAAAUUUCAAAGCCCUGAAUGGUUUCUGUAGGUCAAAGGUCAUGUGAGGAGAUAGGGGCUGAAGUUUUUUCCAACGCUCUAGAAAAAGGUUUUAAGUGUCAUCCCAAUUGCUAUGUGUACUGAGCCUGGCUUCAUGUGUCUCAUAUGGCCACUAGAAGCAGCUUUCCAGUCAGCUGUGUGUCUCCAGGUGCACAAAUUAGUUGCCAUGGGGACCUUGGAUGCAUAACUAUAGCAGGAGAAAGAAGGCUUGAAGCUAAGGAAACAGGGCUCCAAGUAGGCCCUGGCACUCAUCGUCUGUAUCUAUUCCUGAUAAGGAGCUUGUGAGAACACAAGACUCUGCUGAACACAUUAAUACAAUUUAUUAUCACAAUCCUCAAAACACCCCAUAAUAUCUUCAAUGAGCUGAAUUUUUGAAGCCCAGAAUGGUUUCUGUAGCUCAAAGUUUGUGGGUGGAGAUAGGCGCUGAAGCAGACACAUAUUAACUGUGUGUACAAGCAGCUGAACUGCAAGGUAGACCUCAUAAAGCAACAAGUACAAGUAUGUGUGUGUGUGUGUGUGUGUGUCUCGUUAAUGACUGCAUCCUAAACAGCUGUGAGAUCAAAGGCAAAUCACUGACCUACUGUUUGAAUGAGAAGCAGCUGAACUGCAGAGGAUUUAGAGGCUCUAAACUUCUUCACAUAGCGUGAUUUCCUUAAGUCACAGAAUGAAAAUAAGAACAUCGUACGAAUCCUCCGCCCUUCAUGAACACAAUGAUGUGUUUUUCAUGUCUGUACUUCGAAAAAUGAGGCCACAACAGCGAGUUAAAAAAGUCUGAGCCUGAGCGAUGAUCCGGAUUUUCUUGGAGAAAAAUAACAUUAUGGUCAAUGGGAGAGAUUUCCGCCUUUUUUGGACAGUUGGUCACCUGCUGGCCAAGGGGUACGAUUUAAUGAUUUGAAACCUCUUUUGUGAGAAGCAGGACACAUAUACCUCCAUUUUGAUGUAUUAUUUGUGUCAGUGGAGUGAGAUUUGUGGGCGUGGGAGCGAUAUAUUCGAGCGAGGUUCUGUCGAUCAGAGACGAGGUCUGCACUCUAGCUGAUGACAUCAUCACUCUAAACUCUCCAAUACACACCCAUUAUAAAGCUUGAAAUUUGCUGAAAACCACAAGUUGCUUAAAGCUAAAUUGUGGAAAAACUGUAAAAGAUAUCAAAAAACUGAGUACAACUGUAAUAGUCGACAAGUGAAUGAACAUUUUAAAGCAAAAAUGAGGUCUCUAGGUGAAAGUAUGCUGAAGUUAUAAGGUCUAGAAGGUGGAAGAAUGAAAGGAAGAAGUUGAAGAUUUCCCCAUUGACUUCAAUGUUAAAAUUUUUGCACAAAAAGUUAAAAAAAUCAAAAAGUAUAAAAGGUAGAAGAGUGAAAAGUAAUAGCCAUCAUGUCCUGAAGGAGUGGAAUAGUUUAAAGUUUGAACGGUUGAAAUCGGACAAAGUUUGAAGGAG
This is a non-coding RNA of Xyrichtys novacula (pearly razorfish), 11322 nucleotides long. Lineage: Eukaryota; Metazoa; Chordata; Actinopteri; Labriformes; Labridae. The record is from the annotation of a GenBank genome assembly.